This 412-nucleotide ribosomal RNA is filed under the name uncultured Sporichthyaceae bacterium. RNAcentral's name for it is "bacterial SSU rRNA". It matches the Rfam family "Bacterial small subunit ribosomal RNA", at positions 506 to 916 of the family's 1533-position model. Lineage: Bacteria; Bacillati; Actinomycetota; Actinomycetes; Sporichthyales; Sporichthyaceae. The record is from RNAcentral.
UGUCAGCAGCCGCGGUAAUACAUAGGGUGCAAGCGUUGUCCGGAAUUAUUGGGCGUAAAGAGCUCGUAGGUGGUUAGUUACGUCGGAUGUGAAAAUCUAGGGCUCAACCCUAGACCUGCAUCCGAUACGGGCUAGCUUGAGUUUGGUAGGGGAGACUGGAAUUCCUGGUGUAGCGGUGGAAUGCGCAGAUAUCAGGAGGAACACCAAUGGCGAAGGCAGGUCUCUGGGCCAAUACUGACACUGAGGAGCGAAAGUGUGGGGAGCGAACAGGAUUAGAUACCCUGGUAGUCCACACAGUAAACGAUGGGCACUAGUUGUGGGAACCUUCCACGGUUUCUGCGACGCAGCUAACGCAUUAAGUGCCCCGCCUGGGGAGUACGAUCGCAAGAUUAAAACUCAAAGGAAUUGACGG